RNAcentral lists this non-coding RNA (21 nucleotides) under Caenorhabditis elegans. The record is from RNAcentral. Lineage: Eukaryota; Metazoa; Nematoda; Chromadorea; Rhabditida; Rhabditidae.
UCACUACAGUAUAUGACAGAU